AUGCCCCUACGGGACGCAACAGUAGGGAAUCUUCCACAAUGGGCGAAAGCCUGAUGGAGCAACGCCGCGUGGGUGGAGAAGGUCUUCGGAUCGUAAAACCCUGUUGUUAGAGAAGAAAGUGCGUGAGAGUAACUGUUCACGUUUCGACGGUAUCUAACCAGAAAGCCACGGCUAACUACGUGCCAGCAGCCGCGGUAAUACGUAGGUGGCAAGCGUUAUCCGGAUUUAUUGGGCGUAAAGAGAACGCAGGCGGUCUUUUAAGUCUGAUGUGAAAGCCUUCGGCUUAACCGGAGUAGUGCAUUGGG
Molecule: ribosomal RNA, 305 nt
Filed under: uncultured bacterium
Lineage: Bacteria
Description: bacterial SSU rRNA
Rfam family: Bacterial small subunit ribosomal RNA
Source: RNAcentral